This 1438-nucleotide ribosomal RNA is filed under the name uncultured bacterium. RNAcentral's name for it is "bacterial SSU rRNA". It matches the Rfam family "Bacterial small subunit ribosomal RNA". The record is from RNAcentral.
UAGAGUUUGAUCCUGGCUCAGAACGUACGCUGGCGGCACGCCUAAUACAUGCAAGUCGAACGAAGUAGCAAUACUUAGUGGCAGACGGGUGAGUAACAUAUGGGUAUCUUCCCUUUGGUGAGGAAUAACACGAGGAAACUUGUGCUAAUACCUCAUAAGUCUUUACGGAGAAAGCUUUAUGCGCCAAUGGAUGAGCCCGCACUUGAUUAGUUUGUUGGUGAGGUAAUGGCUCACCAAGACUUUGAUCAAUAGCUGAUUUGAGAGGAUGAUCAGCCACAUUGGGACUGAGACACGGCCCAAACUCCUACGGGAGGCAGCAGUAGGGAAUCUUGCACAAUGGGGGAAACCCUGAUGCAGCGAUGCCGCGUGAGUGAAGAAGGCCUUUGGGUUGUAAAGCUCUUUCGUCGGGGAAGAAAAUGACUGUACCCGAAUAAGAAGGUCCGGCUAACUUCGUGCCAGCAGCCGCGGUAAUACGAAGGGACCUAGCGUAGUUCGGAAUUACUGGGCUUAAAGAGUUCGUAGGUUGUUAAAAAAGUUGGUGGUGAAAUCCCAGAGCUUAACUCUGGAACUGCCAUCAAAACUUUUUAGCUAGAGUUUGAUAGAGGAAAGCAGAAUUUCUAGUGUAGAGGUGAAAUUCGUAGAUAUUAGAAAGAAUACCAAUUGCGAAGGCAGCUUUCUGGAUCAUUACUGACACUGAGGAACGAAAGCAUGGGUAGCGAAGAGGAUUAGAUACCCUCGUAGUCCAUGCCGUAAACGAUGUGUGUUAGACGUUGGAAAUUUAUUUUCAGUGUCGCAGCGAAAGCAAUAAACACACCGCCUGGGGAGUACGACCGCAAGGUUAAAACUCAAAUGAAUUGACGGGGACCCGCACAAGUAGUGGAGCAUGUGGUUUAAUUCGAAGAUACGCGCAGAACCUUACCAACACUUGACAUGUUCGUCGCGACUUUAAGAGAUUAAAGUUUUCGGUUCGGCCGGACGAAACACAGGUGCUGCAUGGCUGUCGUCAGCUCGUGUCGUGAGAUGUUGGGUUAAGUCCCGCAACGAGCGCAACCCUCACUUUUAGUUGCCAUCAUUUAGUUGGGCACUCUGAAAGAACUGCCAGUGAUAAGCUGGAGGAAGGUGGGGAUGACGUCAAGUCCUCAUGGCCCUUACGUGUUGGGCUACACACGUGCUACAAUGGCAUCUACAACAGGAAGCAAAACGGCGACGUUAAGCAAAUCCUAAAAAAAUGCCUCAGUUCGGAUUGUACUCUGCAACUCGAGUACAUGAAGCUGGAAUUACUAGUAAUCGCGGAUCAGCGCGCCGCGGUGAAUACGUUCCCGGGUCUUGUACACACCGCCCGUCACACCAUGGGAGUUGGUUCUACCUUAAGGCAAAGGUUAAAAACUUUGACCACGGUAUAGUCAGCGACUGGGGUGAAGUCGUAACAAGGUAACCA